UAAAGUGGCGCACGGGUGAGUAACGCGUGGAUAAUCUGCCUUCAGUUGGGAAUAACUCAUCGAAAGGUGGCUAAUACCGAAUAAUACUGUGAGACCUCGGUCGAUCAGUCAAAGAGAGCCUCUGCUUGCAUGCCCUUGCUGAAGGAUGAGUCCGCGUACCAUUAGCUAGUUGGUAGGGGUAAUGGCCUACCAAGGCGACGAUGGUUAGCUGGUCUGAGAGGAUGAUCAGCCACACUGGAACUGAGACACGGUCCAGACUCCUACGGGAGGCAGCAGUGAGAAUCUUGCGCAAUGGGGGCAACCCUGACGCAGCAACGCCGCGUGAGUGAGGAAGGUCUUCGGAUCGUAAAGCUCUGUCGGAUGGAAAGAACCGCAUAGGGGUAAAUAGCUCCUAUGUCUGACGGUACCAUCAAAGGAAGCACCGGCUAACUCCGUGCCAGCAGCCGCGGUAA
This 452-nucleotide ribosomal RNA is filed under the name uncultured delta proteobacterium. Its description in RNAcentral is "bacterial SSU rRNA". It matches the Rfam family "Bacterial small subunit ribosomal RNA", at positions 91 to 523 of the family's 1533-position model. Lineage: Bacteria; Deltaproteobacteria. The record is from RNAcentral.